UCAAGUGGAUCUCGGACUAAAACCGCGACGUCCUGUCGCAACGUCCGAGUGACCAACAUCUUGUUGG
RNAcentral lists this small RNA (67 nucleotides) under Paraliobacillus sp. PM-2. RNAcentral's name for it is "Bacillaceae-1 RNA". It matches the Rfam family "Bacillaceae-1 RNA". The record is from Rfam by way of RNAcentral. Lineage: Bacteria; Bacillati; Bacillota; Bacilli; Caryophanales; Bacillaceae.